Molecule: long non-coding RNA, 865 nt
Filed under: Homo sapiens (human)
Lineage: Eukaryota; Metazoa; Chordata; Mammalia; Primates; Hominidae
Description: non-protein coding MEF2C-AS1:7
Source: RNAcentral
AAUUAUUGCCGAUCCUCCCCUCCAACACUGCUCUCAUCACCUAUAUACUCUUCUCUCUGCCCGUCUCUGCUUCCCCCCCCUUCCCCCCCCCCUUUUCUCCCGGCCGACGGAGCUGAAGGGGCGGGGGUUCCUUCCUUGGAGUGUUUCUAGAGCUCGGAGGCUGCUGGUAGGGGGGCACCACUUUCAGAUAAAAACAUAGACCUGAAUGGCAUCAUCCAGUAUCCAAGGAAACCAUGCUUGCUUGAAGAGUGAGCAGGUGAGCAAAGAGACAAGAUUACAUGUUUAAACCAAGAAAAGAAUCUUGAAAAACAGAUUGGAAGAAUGCGAAAUGUUAUUAGACACAGGCACAGCAUAGCAGUAGAAACAUCUUAACUGAGAACUUGGAACUGAAAGAGAAAGCAACCAACUUAAAGGGCAGACAAGACACAUGGUUAUGUAACACAGCAGUGGGUAUUCACAGUGAUGACACAAGACAAAACAAUUACAUUUUCAUUCUAAAAGUAAUUUUUAAGGAGGCAAGGGCAUUUAUAAAACAUUUUAGAAACUAUUUAAUAAAAAUGGUAAAAUUAAAGUGUUUGUUUAUGUACUCAACAAAUAUUUAUUUGGAAAGUGCAUGCCUGGGGGCACAUCUCGUUAAUGAGGUGAUCCUGUGUUUAGAACUGAAGGCAGUCCUCAUCCAUUCUCUCAAAAGGUGACCUUCUUUGUUCUUCUUAUAGCCUCACCACAUUUAAUUUUCAGAGGUUUUGACAUAAAUUAAAAACAUUCUUUGGUAGAUUGUAUUGUAUGAAAACAAUCUUCAAAAGUGUAAGCAUUGAUAUCUGGAAUAUCUGGGAAAAUGUACAAUAAAGACAUCUCUUCUGGUCUU